UAAGACGUAGGGGGCGAGCGUUGUCCGGAUUUACUGGGCGUAAAGAGCGCGUAGGCGGUCUGUUAAGUGUGAAGUGAAAUCUCCAGGGCUCAACCCGGAACCUGCUUCGCAUACUGGCAGACUAGAGGAAUGCAGAGGUAAGUGGAAUUCCUGGUGUAGCGGUGAAAUGCGUAGAUAUCAGGAGGAACACCCAUGGCGAAGGCAGCUUACUGGGCAUUAUCUGACGCUGAGGCGCGAAAGCGUGGGUAGCAAACAGGAUUAGAUACCCUGGUAGUCCACGCCCUAAACGAUGGAUACUAGGCGUAAGAGGUAUCUACCCCUCUUGUGCCGCAGCUAACGCACUAAGUAUCCCGCCUGGGGAGUACGGCCGCAAGGUUG
RNAcentral lists this ribosomal RNA (378 nucleotides) under uncultured bacterium. RNAcentral's name for it is "bacterial SSU rRNA". It matches the Rfam family "Bacterial small subunit ribosomal RNA", at positions 521 to 896 of the family's 1533-position model. The record is from RNAcentral.